RNAcentral lists this transfer RNA (73 nucleotides) under Armatimonadota bacterium. Its description in RNAcentral is "Armatimonadetes bacterium (glacier metagenome) tRNA-Arg". It matches the Rfam family "tRNA". From Rfam's summary of the family: Transfer RNA (tRNA) molecules are approximately 80 nucleotides in length. Their secondary structure includes four short double-helical elements and three loops (D, anti-codon, and T loops). The record is from RNAcentral. Lineage: Bacteria; Bacillati; Armatimonadota.
GCGCCCGUAGCUCAGCGGAUAGAGCAAGGGAUUUCUACUCCCUUGGCCGGGGGUUCGAUUCCCUCCGGGCGCG